AGCCUCAUUCAAAAUGAGAAGUUGACCUGUUGAUUGUGCCCAAAAUUAGCCAAUGCGGCUUAAUCUGGGAACAGCUGAUUAUGAUUCCAUAAUAGCAAUGCAAUUGCAGUGGUGGCAAGAGAAACUGUAACAUUU
This 135-nucleotide small nucleolar RNA is filed under the name Castor canadensis (American beaver). RNAcentral describes it as "Small nucleolar RNA SNORA1 (ENSCCNG00000010721.1)". The record is from RNAcentral. Lineage: Eukaryota; Metazoa; Chordata; Mammalia; Rodentia; Castoridae.